This is a long non-coding RNA of Osmia bicornis bicornis, 1939 nucleotides long. RefSeq lists it as uncharacterized. The transcript is spliced from 3 exons. NCBI's taxonomy places the organism in Eukaryota, Metazoa, Arthropoda, Insecta, Hymenoptera, Megachilidae. The record is from RefSeq and is a predicted model, not a curated record.
UCGACGUUGCGAAUUUCAACAGCCGAUUCUUCGUCUUUAUAUUGUCCGCACUUUGCUUCCGUAAGAUCUAUCAGACUUUCACGGUCUGGGUUGCUGCGGUUUUAAACACCGCUCGAGACUUCCGGCUGUGUUCGGUUCGAGUUCCACUUUGAUAGUCUCUUUUUUUCCUUUCACCAGCCUUUCAACUAGCCUCGUAAUAAUAGCUUCUGUUAAUUGACCAGGGGUAUUGUCGACGAGUUAGCCGGAGAAUGAAUUACCGUGUCAUACGCGAAAGGGUUAAUAACAAAGAGAGAGAAAGAAAAUGAUAGAAUGUGAAAACAGGUGACCGCAUUUGAUUCAAACGCAUCGAGACAUUCAGUACACUCUCGACGUCGUUUGCUUGUGAAAACGGGUUGGAAACGCGAAUUGGCUUUCUCCGGCUGAUGCUAAAUGCUACCGUGUACGUUUAAAUAAAUCACGAAAGUCGAUAGUCGCACGAUUCCGAGUCACGAUUUUUUUCGAACUUUGGAUAAUUACAGGCUUUCGAUGAGUUCGACGAGUUCAGAUUUCACUGAUGAGUUUCAGAGUCAUUAAUUUUAACAUUUUAAUGAAUCGAUUGUUACGUUGAUCGUCGAGCGACGCGUCGCAUCUCAAAUGUUGGUUGAAUGUAAACGACUUGGAGCGAAAUAAACUAGACUUAUAAGAAGGCGAACUGGAAGUGGCGUUACUUGAAUUCAAGUAACUCUUCCGUUCUGUAAGAACGCAUCGGAGGCAGCCUCUCUAUCGCUGCAAAAGGAAAGAUUCGAGAAGACGAAGAAUCAGAAACACGUUGCGAUCACGCGGCUACGUCGACGCGAGAGGAUCGCGACAUCGUAGCCGAGACGAGUUUCUUCAAGAGCAAGAACCCGAAGUGAACGAGAGAGCUGAUGCGUGUUUCGCCCUCCUUUCACCGCCGGCCAUCUCGUGAAACACACAUGGAUUUCAGAUCGAAUUAAAUCGACCCACCACCGAGCCAAUUAGGAUCGAUACAUUGCCGCAACGCCGGCGGCAAUUAAGCUUUUCGCCGUGCUAAUUAAUCGGUCCAACGGAAUCGCACGCCGGACGGUUCGUACCGAAUCUACAGGCUCUUUCAGAAACAUUUUUUAGAGUAUUUUUGGAAAUUUCUUUUACCACCUUCAAACUUACCGAACGUAUAAAUUAAAAUUAAUAUUGCAAAAAUCAUUUUUAAGGGAACCGUGUCAAAUUUAUAAAGUGAUAAUAUGAAAUGUGAAAUUUAAUUAAAAUUGCGGCUUUCUCCAUGGUCCGCCGUCCGAGGGGUUGAAUAUAAAUUCUAAUUUAACUAAUGAAUAUUUUACACUAAUUGGAUAUUUCAGCUAUAUUUUCAGGAAUGAACGUCUCUUUUGGAAUGUGGGUGCCAUCCUACAAAGUGCAUCGUUCGAAAUGUUAUAUACGAAGAACAAAAGGCUGUUUGGACUAUGGAAUCUUGUGAGGCGACAUUUUAUCGUUCGUCACUCGAGAAGUUCGUCGGAAUAUUUCUUAUGACACUAUCGGAAUGGAACUGCAUCGAACUGGUGCGAGACACGCGUAAGUGCAAUUAAAUUAAUCAAAAGUGUCUGAUCAAGUAAAAAAAAAUGGAGGAUAAAUACGAAGAACGUGUUAAGAGAAACACAAUACGAAUUCAAUCGCUAUAUAAAGUUAUAAAUUAUACAUAUAUCGCUAAUUAAUUUCAACUUCAAUAAUGAAACGUAUUAAUCUAUUUCAUUCGACGUUUCGAAUCUGAUUUGAUCGUGAACGUGUUGUUGACAUAAGAUCAUAUUAAUUUUUGCCCAUAUAUCAAUAACAAUAAUCUGUCAUGAAUCACUAUUCUACCUGAUAUAAUAAACAAACUGACGUGUAUAUAAUUUUGCAUAGAAAAUAGCCCGCGGGUAAAUGUUGCAAUAAUAAACUGCAUCUCCUGAAU